Small nucleolar RNA from Misgurnus anguillicaudatus (oriental weatherfish), 132 nucleotides. RefSeq annotates it as small nucleolar RNA SNORA55. NCBI's taxonomy places the organism in Eukaryota, Metazoa, Chordata, Actinopteri, Cypriniformes, Cobitidae. The record is from RefSeq and is a predicted model, not a curated record.
GCACUUCAGCAAACCCUGUCCUUUCGUCUUAGUGCUGGUCAUGGGUUUUAAAAAGUGCUAAAGAAAAUCAGAGUAAAUCCAGAUGAGUCUUCUCCUUCAUUGAAGCUUGUCUCUACAGACUUUGAAACAUCC